Molecule: ribosomal RNA, 272 nt
Filed under: uncultured bacterium
Lineage: Bacteria
Description: partial small subunit ribosomal RNA
Rfam family: Bacterial small subunit ribosomal RNA
Source: RNAcentral
AGAAUCAACGCUGGCGGCGUGCCUAACACAUGCAAGUCGAACGCGAAAGUCCCGCAAGGGAUCAGUAGAGUGGCAAACGGGUGAGUAACGCGUGGGUGACCUGCCUUCGAGUGGGGGAUAACGUUCCGAAAGGGACGCUAAUACCGCAUGACAUCCUGCCUUUGAAGAGGUGGAGAUCAAAGCUGGGGAUCGCAAGACCUAGCACUCGAGGAGGGGCCCGCGCCUGAUUAGCUAGUUGGUGAGGUAACGGCUCACCAAGGCUUCGAUCAGUA